UACGUAGGGGGCAAGCGUUGUCCGGAUUUACUGGGCGUAAAGCGCGUGUAGGCGGCUCGAUAAGUCUGCUGUGAAAGUCCAGGGCUCAACCCUGGGAUGCCGGUGGAUACUGUCGAGCUCGAGUCCGGAAGAGGCGAGUGGAAUUCCUGGUGUAGCGGUGAAAUGCGCAGAUAUCAGGAGGAACACCAAUGGCGAAGGCAGCUCGCUGGGACGUGACUGACGCUGAGACGCGAAAGCGUGGGGAGCAAACAGG
This 253-nucleotide ribosomal RNA is filed under the name uncultured bacterium. Its description in RNAcentral is "partial 16S ribosomal RNA". It matches the Rfam family "Bacterial small subunit ribosomal RNA", at positions 524 to 776 of the family's 1533-position model. The record is from RNAcentral.